GACGAACGCUGGCGGCGUGCUUAACACAUGCAAGUCGAACGGAAAGGCCCUGCUUUUGUGGGGUUCUCGAGUGGCGAACGGGUGAGUAACACGUGAGUAACCUGCCCUUGACUUUGGGAUAACUUCAGGAAACUGGGGCUAAUACCGGAUAGGAUCUCCUGCUGCAUGGUGGGGGUUGGAAAGUUUCGGCGGUUGGGGAUGGACUCGCGGCUUAUCAGCUUGUUGGUGGGGUAGUGGCUUACCAAGGCUUUGACGGGUAGCCGGCCUGAGAGGGUGACCGGGCACCUUGGGACUGCGGUACGGCCCAGAAUCCUACGGGAGGCAGCAGUGGGGAACAUUGCACAAUGGGCGGAAGCGUGAUGCAGAAACGCCGCGUGCGGGAUGCCCGCUUUCGGGUUGUAAACCGCUUUCGCCUGUGACGAAGCGUGAGUGACGGUAAUGGGUAAAGAAGCAACGGCUAACUACGUG
RNAcentral lists this ribosomal RNA (468 nucleotides) under uncultured bacterium. RNAcentral describes it as "partial 16S ribosomal RNA". It matches the Rfam family "Bacterial small subunit ribosomal RNA", at positions 28 to 507 of the family's 1533-position model. The record is from RNAcentral.